Molecule: non-coding RNA, 73 nt
Organism: Ameiurus melas (black bullhead)
Lineage: Eukaryota; Metazoa; Chordata; Actinopteri; Siluriformes; Ictaluridae
Source: the annotation of a GenBank genome assembly
UCCCUGGUGGUCCAGUGGUUUAGGAUACCAUUUUCUCAUUGCUGUGGCCCAGGUUCAAUUCCUUGGCAGGGAA